AGUGCUUAUAAAUUAUGGAACUACAUUUCACAAUUGAAUAAGCAUUGUGAUAAAUCAGGACGUUCCUUACUGCAUGAGAAUGUGUUUGUUGGAGUUUUGUAAAUAACAAGUCCACUAUUUAAGAAGUGUUUUUCAUGGAGGAAAGCGGCAUACGACACUGAACGGCUGUAGAUGUAGGAACAACUUUCUGCUCUGACUCCCCAGAAAUAUCGAUGACAGUACGACAUUUAUAGAAUACCACGGAACGACCUGUUUUCUCGUAAACAAUUAAUCUGAUACUAGUAAUAUACAUUGUAUUGCUUAUGCCUGUGCUGUAUUGUAUACUAUUAAAACUGCGUUCAUCCAUUUCUAGUGACAAUGCAUGCAGUCGUGUUGUGAAACAUAUGUGCUGAAGUCAUUAACGACUAUAUUAUUCAACAUGGGACUAUUAAUAUGGAAUAUGAUGGCCGAGUGGGAAGCAUAUGGUGUGUGAUAGCCAUUUAAUGAGGCUUAAAUUAUCUUCAAUAUUCAUUGUGAACAUAGGAUAUUAAUUUCUUUGCUACACUGUUGCUCCUUGGCGACUUUGUCCCAACACUAAUGGCGAAAGCCUGCUUAUGAGCAGUUCCAAGGUUUAAACAGGAAGACGAUUCUUGAACCACGGACGGAUCGACCCAACGACCUAACAAGAAGUUUUUCUUUCCGUUUGACGUUGAUAACCACGGAGCAAGGGUCGGUCCGAUCCCACAGCCUUACCGGAAGUGUGAAUCUUAACGAGUUAUUUAUGCUCCUUGGAAGACGGACCAUCCCGUCCCGCUGUCAUCAACGGGGGUGAGCCGCACUGUAUUAUACUGACGCCGCCUGCUACAUUGAAGGUCCUUACCGGUAGUUAGAGUCAUGUUAUCCGUUUCCGGGCGAUACCGCCCAUCCACUGUCAUCGAAAGUUAAAGGGUUCUUGAACGAUAUCGGCAUCCCAAAUUCUCAAGCCGCCCCCGGCCACGCGGCUGGCAUCGCUGUCCCGAUUUGAGCGACAUUAUCGCCAUUAACGACAUACCCACAGACGGCUCACCGGAUAUGGAGGCUGAGUGAUAAAAAUCUACUUCAAGUGUCAAGUCUCCAAGAACCUUCAUGGCGUCCAAAUCUAACCCAGGUCAGGCCACCACCGGCCGUCCGCCAACAACGAGUGUUCUACGGAGCGCUCUUUACUACCAAAAUAGGAUCAUUGUACCGGAAAAGAAGACAAAAUCCCCGUCAGGAAGUCCAGACCGUCCGACGGAAAGCACUGAACCCGGUCUGCGGUAUUCGCUGGCCGCGAGGCCUUCAACAUUGCAAAGAUCGCUUGACGGCGCUCAGAAUUCCGAUAGCGCUCUUGAGAGCGGUAUUAUCUCUCAGACAAUACCAGUUGCUGCAAGUGGAAACAUCGACUGUGGAGGUUCGCGGUAUGAUGCACCUCGCUCUCCUGACAAAAUGGAGACACACGGCAUCGAUAUCGUGGUCACCGAAGCGGACGACGGCUCAAAUAAAGACGACGAAUCGUGCUUGAAACGCUUUUUUAAGUGCUUGCAGGAUAAUCGAAUGAAAGGUGUUCCGAACGCAGAGGAAAUAUUGGCUAGCUCAAAUCCACAGGAUUUUAAAGUGCUGAAAAAAGUGCUUAACAUAUCGUUCUUAACAAUUGGAAUUGCACUGCUGAUAGCAGUAUUAAUUGUGAUAUUAUAUUCUACUAUCGUCUUCAGAUAAAAGAAAUAGCAUAUUGAAAGGACAGCUUCAACAAAAAAUAGACAAGGUUUUCAUUCGCUUGAACAGCAAGAGAAUAAGGAUGAAGGACAAGCUCGCGCACGUUCGUCGUGCACGUGUAAAAUGCUCAACAUUGCUCAAACCCUCAAAACAGCGUAAUAGUACUGAACGUUUCUUUGGACUUAACGGGAAAUUAACAGUUCCACUUCACCCAAAAUAGUCCACUCUGGUCAAACGUUGCAAAAGUGGUGGAUCCGUUUUUGAUUGGUUCAAUUUUGUUUCAGAAAAGUCGGGAUCGCUCAACUGAAUGAUAGGACUUUCUUCCAAAAUCACCAGCGGCGUUUGCACAAAAUAGCCAUUACUUAAUAAAACUGGAAUUACAAUUACAUUGAAAUGACAAUGUCCCACUACACGAAUAGACAAUAGGAAAUCUCAAAUCUAAGGAACGUAUAACUGGCUUUAUCUGGGGAUAUUGGAUACAGUGUGUCGUUUACAGACAUGAGUGAUCACAUGUUACAUUUCCUGAACACUGAAAUAUAACUCUAGACUUCAAUCAGGAAUUGGAGGUUAUUGUGCUCUUAUAUUAUAAUGGCUGUAAGCUACAAUACAGUCUAAGAAUGGGUAAUUGUUCUUUGAAUUAUGUUACUUUUACCGCAAUGUUUUUUUGAAUAGCUCAAAAUGUGGUGUUUCUGUGCUCAUACUUGCAGCGUCACGUGAAAAGGCGUUGUGCUUAACGCAAAUUCGAAAUGGUGUUUUCAUUUUUGUUGCUACGGCACCGUUAUGUCAAAAUUGUCAUCAAGAGAUGAUUUUAUCAGUUAUAAAUACGUGUUUUUGCUCAAAGCACAUUCAUGGUGUUUGAUUUGUUUUUAUGGUUUUCAUUAGUUGGGUUUCAGUGUGUAUGUUCUAUAUGAUGUUUCAUUUAUGCCUUAGUAAGUCAUGUAAUUAUCAUUUUGCUUAGUAAUAAGUCUGAGUCGAAUUAAAUCAAGCAUUGUCAUUUGCAUUUAUAUUAUAUUUUUAUUAUAAGUGACAGUAUGAAUAAAACAUCAAAACUUU
Molecule: RNA transcript, 2763 nt
Organism: Mya arenaria
Lineage: Eukaryota; Metazoa; Mollusca; Bivalvia; Myida; Myidae
Exons: 6
Source: RefSeq, a predicted model, not a curated record